GGAUUAGAUACCCUGGUAGUCCACGCCCUAAACGAUGGAUGCUAGUCGCUGUGGUGCUCGUCAUUGCAGUGAUGCAGCUAACGCAUUAAGCAUCCCGCCUGGGGAGUACGGUCGCAAGAUUAAAACUCAAAGGAAUAGACGGGGACCCGCACAAGCGGUGGAGCAUGUGGUUUAAUUCGAAGAUACGCGAAGAACCUUACCCGGGCUUGACAUCCUAGGAACCUUUUAGAGAUAGAAGGGUGCUAGCUUGCUAGAGCCUAGUGACAGGUGCUGCACGGCCGUCGUCAGCUCGUGCCG
This 297-nucleotide ribosomal RNA is filed under the name uncultured bacterium. Its description in RNAcentral is "partial 16S ribosomal RNA". It matches the Rfam family "Bacterial small subunit ribosomal RNA", at positions 775 to 1067 of the family's 1533-position model. The record is from RNAcentral.